Molecule: ribosomal RNA, 455 nt
Filed under: uncultured bacterium
Lineage: Bacteria
Description: SSU rRNA
Rfam family: Bacterial small subunit ribosomal RNA
Source: RNAcentral
AGAAUCAACGCUGGCGGCGUGCCUAACACAUGCAAGUCGAACGAGAAAGUCCGCAAGGACAAGUAAAGUGGCGACCGGGUGAGUAACACGUGACUAACCUACCUUUUAGUGGGGGAUAACUCCGGGAAACCGGGGCUAAUACCGCAUAACAUCGCAAGAUCAAAGCAGCAAUGCGCUGGAAGAGGGGGUCGCGGCUGAUUAGCUAGUUGGCGGGGUAAUGGCCCACCAAGGCGAAGAUCGGUAUCCGGCCUGAGAGGGCGCACGGACACACUGGAACUGAAACACGGUCCAGACUCCUACGGGAGGCAGCAGUGGGAAUUUGCGCAUGGGGGAAACCCUGACGCAGCAACGCCGCGUGGAGGAUGAAGUCCCUUGGGACGUAAACUCCUUUCGACCAAGACGAUAAUGACGGUACUGGUGGAAGAAGCACCGGCUAACUCUGUGCCAGCAGCCGC